UAGUCCACGCUGUAAACGAUGAGUGCAAGGUGCUGGGGGUCAAACCCCGGUGCCGCCGUUAACACAGUAAGCACUCCGCCUGGGGAGUACGUACGCAAGUAUGAAACUCAAAGGAAUUGACGGGGACCCGCACAAGUAGCGGAGCAUGUGGUUUAAUUCGAUGCAACGCGAAGAACCUUACCAGGGCUUGACAUAAAAGUGACGAGGGAUAGAGAUAUGCCUUUUCUCUUCAGAGACAGUUUUAC
This 245-nucleotide ribosomal RNA is filed under the name uncultured bacterium. RNAcentral describes it as "partial 16S ribosomal RNA". It matches the Rfam family "Bacterial small subunit ribosomal RNA", at positions 791 to 1035 of the family's 1533-position model. The record is from RNAcentral.